UCUCUUCCAGUACCUAUGGGGCAUGUUAGAAACAUUAGUAGCAUUUAUUAGGGGGAACCUUUCCCAUUAGCUAAAGCGAGGGCUAGUGUUGACAGCCAAUAUUCAGUGAACCACAGGGGCUUGCUGGUGAAGGUCAGAGGCUGUCUGCCCACCUGGCAGUGGCUGGCAUUGUUAUAUGCUAAAUCAGGAUUAUAUUUCUGACACUUGGCUAAAGGAUCCUGUAAGAGCUGCUCUGUUUAGAAUAAUAAUAAAAGCAAUGAAGAUUCUCGAACAAUGAGUACCUUCUCUGUGCCAGCUAAUAUGAUGAAGCAACCAAAGUGUCCAUCAGCAGAUGAAUGUGAAAGGAAAUGUGGCAUGCCUUAUAUACAACGGAAUACUAUUCAACCUUUAAAAAGAAGAACAUUCUGUCAUCUGCUACAACAUGGAUAAACCUGGAGGACACUAUGCUAAGUGAAAUAAGACGGUCACUGAAAGACAAAUACCACAUGAUCUCACCUGUGGACAGAAUCUAAAAAAGUCAUAAUCAUAGACAUGGAGAGUAGAAUGGUGGUUAUCAGAGGCUGCCUGGGGCAGGGAGGGGAUGGAGAAAGGAGGGUGUUGAUCAAAAGAGACAACGUUUCAUCUAGACAGCAGGAGUAAGUUUUAGUGAUCUAUUUCACAGAAUAGUGACUAUAAUAAAUAAUAAUGCAUUGCAUAUUCACAUUGCUUAAAUAUUAGGUUUUAGAUGUUCUCACUACCAAAAAUUGAUAUGUGAGGUGAUGAGUAUGUUAAUUCACUUGAUUUAAUCAUCUCACAAUGUAAACAUAUAUCAAAACAUUACAUUAAACACCAUAGAUACCUAUAAUUGUUAUGAUUUGCCAAUUAAAAAUAAAAUAAAAUUUUAAAGAUAAAAUAUGAAUUUUCAAGAAGAUUCAAGAACAGGUAUAAUGGAUAGGAGCAACUUUUCAAUAUUUAACCAUCUUCCAAAAUUGAGAACUUCAUAAAAGUAUUCCUUUCAUUGCCUUCAUCUGACAUGUUUCUUUUUAUUAAGAUCAAUGAUUUGACAGAGAAAUAUGACUGAGAUACAAAAUCUGAGAUAGCAGAUCUCAAAUUGCUACACUGAGAAAUCAGCUACAGUAGAAUGAGAAUUUCUUUCUAGAGAGGUAAAAGAGGAGAAAGAAGAAAUUUCAGAGGCUGUAUUUACAUGGGUAAAAUAAAGUAGAAGGUUAAAAUAGUCAUCAGGGAAUCUAGUCUCUCUGAAAUGGUAUCUCAGUCAUUUUUCUUUAUACAGAAAUAUAUUUCAACCAGGAAGAACUUCUUAAGUAGAAACAUUCCUAUAAUCUUCUUUAUUUCCAUCUAUCUAAUAAAAUUUGUCAGACACCUUAAAAAUAAAAUGGAAGAAAAUUUUCUUUUAGGCAGUUCACAUUAUGACUGCAUUCAACAAGCAGAUUUAAAAAAUACAAUUAAUAUGGUUAUUUCUUUAAAGGUCACAAGUUUGUGUCAUGUAGACCAAUGAUUUAGAUAGCUGGGAAAUACUCCAUUUUUAUUAAGAUGUUUCUACCAUAUUGAAAUAAUUGGCGCCUCAUUUGUAGUUCAGUCAACUGGGUUUAAAGGUAAAAUUGAAAGCCACUUAAGCAUUCUUUAAAAGUCCCAAUGACUUUCUUGUACCACAGGGGACAAGCUAUACAAAUAUUUCCAACAUUGAUCUUAAUAGAAAAUGCAUUUUUUCUCAGACAUGUGGGUAAUUCCACACUACACAGAAUAGAAUGUGUGAAUGUGUUGCGUAUUGUGGGUAUGUUAAUCACAGAGAACACUUACAAAGUCACUUUUGAUUUGCCUUUCUUGUCAUUAUAAAAUAUUUGUUUUCCCUGUAAAAACAGCAUACAGAAAUAUAAAAAGAAAUCAAAAAUCACUUAUAACCCCUCAUCCUCCACCACCCACUGAUAUUCACCUGUUGUUUCUCCAGAGAGGUGGAAAAUACUAGUGUUGAGUUUGAGUUUUAAUGCCUUGGGAAGACUGGAGAUAGAGCCUUGAAUGUCCAAGAGAAGGGAGGCUUGAGUAGAAAUCUUCUAUUAAAGUCUAGAUCCUCAAGAGAUUUUAUGCUAAUGGUAAAAUUUUAAAAAGAAACUGUGCAGGAAUCUUGUAUGUUUUUAUCUGGGUUCUGGAAAUGGAGCCUCCGCUGAAGAUAAUAAAAAUCCUGGGCUA
Molecule: long non-coding RNA, 2184 nt
Organism: Macaca mulatta (Rhesus monkey)
Lineage: Eukaryota; Metazoa; Chordata; Mammalia; Primates; Cercopithecidae
Source: Ensembl